GAUGAACGCUAGCGGCAGGCCUAACACAUGCAAGUCGAGGGGUAUAGUAGCAAUACUAGAGACCGGCGCACGGGUGCGUAACGCGUAUGCAAUCUACCUUUUACAGGGGAAUAGCCCAGAGAAAUUUGGAUUAAUGCCCCAUAGUAUAUAAGAAUCGCAUGGUUUUUAUAUUAAAGUUCCAACGGUAAAAGAUGAGCAUGCGUCCCAUUAGUUAGUUGGUAAGGUAACGGCUUACCAAGACUAUGAUGGGUAGGGGUCCUGAGAGGGAGAUCCCCCACACUGGUACUGAGACACGGACCAGACUCCUACGGGAGGCAGCAGUGAGGAAUAUUGGACAAUGGGCGCAAGCCUGAUCCAGCCAUGCCGCGUGCAGGAAGACGCAUCUAUGGUGUGUAAACUGCUUUUGUACAGGAAGAAACACUCCCUCGUGAGGGAGCUUGACGGUACUGUAAGAAUAAGGAUCGGCUAACUCCGUGCCAGCAGCCGCGGUAAUACGGAGGAUCCAAGCGUUAUCCGGAAUCAUUGGGUUUAAAGGGUCCGUAGGCGGUUUAAUAAGUCAGUGGUGAAAGCCCAUCGCUCAACGAUGGAACGGCCAUUGAUACUGUUAGACUUGAAUUAUUAGGAAGUAACUAGAAUAUGUAGUGUAGCGGUGAAAUGCUUAGAUAUUACAUGGAAUACCAAUUGCGAAGGCAG
RNAcentral lists this ribosomal RNA (693 nucleotides) under Bacteroidota bacterium. RNAcentral's name for it is "bacterial SSU rRNA". It matches the Rfam family "Bacterial small subunit ribosomal RNA", at positions 28 to 724 of the family's 1533-position model. The record is from RNAcentral. Lineage: Bacteria; Pseudomonadati; Bacteroidota.